Molecule: ribosomal RNA, 663 nt
Filed under: uncultured Bacteroidales bacterium
Lineage: Bacteria; Pseudomonadati; Bacteroidota; Bacteroidia; Bacteroidales
Description: bacterial SSU rRNA
Rfam family: Bacterial small subunit ribosomal RNA
Source: RNAcentral
ACACAUGCAAGUCGAGGGGCAGCAUGGUCUUAGCUUGCUAAGGCCGAUGGCGACCGGCGCACGGGUGAGUAACACGUAUCCAACCUGCCGUCUACUCUUGGACAGCCUUCUGAAAGGAAGAUUAAUACAAGAUGGCAUCAUGAGUCCGCAUGUUCACAUGAUUAAAGGUAUUCCGGUAGACGAUGGGGAUGCGUUCCAUUAGAUAGUAGGCGGGGUAACGGCCCACCUAGUCUUCGAUGGAUAGGGGUUCUGAGAGGAAGGUCCCCCACAUUGGAACUGAGACACGGUCCAAACUCCUACGGGAGGCAGCAGUGAGGAAUAUUGGUCAAUGGGCGAGAGCCUGAACCAGCCAAGUAGCGUGAAGGAUGACUGCCCUAUGGGUUGUAAACUUCUUUUAUAAAGGAAUAAAGUCGGGUAUGCAUACCCGUUUGCAUGUACUUUAUGAAUAAGGAUCGGCUAACUCCGUGCCAGCAGCCGCGGUAAUACGGAGGAUCCGAGCGUUAUCCGGAUUUAUUGGGUUUAAAGGGAGCGUAGAUGGAUGUUUAAGUCAGUUGUGAAAGUUUGCGGCUCAACCGUAAAAUUGCAGUUGAUACUGGAUAUCUUGAGUGCAGUUGAGGCAGGCGGAAUUCGUGGUGUAGCGGUGAAAUGCUUAGAUAUCACGAA